CCUCUCUCAAAGAGGCGACACAACGCAGCCGCGAUGAUCGAUGUGUGGCGUCGUUCUCAGAGCGUGAAGAAGCAUCAUCCGUUUAUCCAAAAACUGAUGAAGCUUGAUGACCGCCGGUGAUUUCGAUGAGGAAUCGCCGAUGAGGGCGACGCUUGCUGAGCGGU
Molecule: small nucleolar RNA, 164 nt
Filed under: Toxocara canis (dog roundworm)
Lineage: Eukaryota; Metazoa; Nematoda; Chromadorea; Rhabditida; Toxocaridae
Description: Small nucleolar RNA U3
Rfam family: Small nucleolar RNA U3
About the family: Small nucleolar RNAs (snoRNAs) are involved in the processing and modification of rRNA in the nucleolus. There are two main classes of snoRNAs: the box C/D class, and the box H/ACA class.
Source: Rfam by way of RNAcentral